AAGUAGAAGCGAUUAAUUGCAAUUAGUUUCGACCUAAUCUUAGGAAAAAUUUUUCCCUACUUU
RNAcentral lists this transfer RNA (63 nucleotides) under Anachauliodes laboissierei. RNAcentral describes it as "tRNA-Arg". The record is from RNAcentral. Lineage: Eukaryota; Metazoa; Arthropoda; Insecta; Megaloptera; Corydalidae.